AUGGGCAAGGCGAAGGGAAAGCAGCUGCAGGACGAGUACUACCACCUCGCCAAGGACAUCACCACCACCAGGUGCCGCUCCGCCACGCGGAGGCUCAUCGACACCUUCGACGUCGUCCUCCACGACGGCUCGCCCAACGUCGGCAGCGCAUGGGCGCAGGAGGCCACCGCGCAGUCCGCACUCGUCAUCGACGCCGUUCGCCUGGCCACCAUGUUCCUCGCCCCCAAUGGCACCUUCGUCACCAUUCACCAAGGUCUUCAGAACCACGACCUCACCACAGAUGAGGUCAAAUACCUUUGCGAGGAUUUGCAGGUGCUGGAUAAAAAUAGUUUCAAGCAUAUCUUGGAGUGGCGCACACGCGUAAGGAAAGCCCUGCCGUCAUCUUCGCAAGUUACACCACAGGAUGAUGGUGCCGCGACGGACACCAAGGUCAAAGAUGAUGUUCAGCUUUUACAGGAAAUGGAAGAAAUGGAUUCUGAUGAAGAACACCAACUGGAGGAGAUGCUUGAUGAAGCUUAUGAGCGUUAUGUGACCAAAAUGGGUGAAGAAGUAAAACAAGAACACAAACGUGCCAAGCGAAUCGAUCCUGAUGCUAAUGCAGGUUUGUUAGAGAGAGGUGAAGAUGAUGGUGGCAACGUUGGCAUCGAUCAAGGUUCUGACAAAGAUCAAGGCCAAGAGACCAACCCCCUUUUAUUAUGUCUAGAUACAGAGAAGCCAGCGGAAGAGCAAGAUGUUAAAGCAGUGGUUCAGUCAGGAUAUGUUCACAGAAGAAGGAAGAAGGGGAAAGGUGGCAAAGGAGGCGCCAAAGGGGGGAAAGGGAUGAAGGGUUCCGCCGGCCAGAAGAAAUGA
This 849-nucleotide ribosomal RNA is filed under the name Triticum aestivum (bread wheat). Its description in RNAcentral is "partial small subunit ribosomal RNA". Lineage: Eukaryota; Viridiplantae; Streptophyta; Magnoliopsida; Poales; Poaceae. The record is from RNAcentral.